This 485-nucleotide ribosomal RNA is filed under the name Roeseliana roeselii. Its description in RNAcentral is "eukaryotic LSU rRNA". It matches the Rfam family "Eukaryotic large subunit ribosomal RNA", at positions 667 to 1110 of the family's 3401-position model. Lineage: Eukaryota; Metazoa; Arthropoda; Insecta; Orthoptera; Tettigoniidae. The record is from RNAcentral.
CAAGGAGUCUAACAUGUGCGCGAGUCAUUGGGUUGACACUAAACCUAAAGGCGCAAUGAAAGUGAAGGUCCCGCCUCGUGCGGACCGAGGGAAGAUGGGCCGCGCUGCUGUGCGGCUCCGCAUUCCCGGGGCGUCUCGUUCUCAUUGCGAGUUGAGGCGCACCCAGAGCGUACACGUUGGGACCCGAAAGAUGGUGAACUAUGCCUGGCCAGGACGAAGUCAGGGGAAACCCUGAUGGAGGUCCGUAGCGAUUCUGACGUGCAAAUCGAUCGUCGGAGCUGGGUAUAGGGGCGAAAGACUAAUCGAACCAUCUAGUAGCUGGUUCCCUCCGAAGUUUCCCUCAGGAUAGCUGGUGCUCGAACGAGUCUCAUCCGGUCAAGCGAAUGAUUAGAGGCCUUGGGGCCGAAACGACCUCAACCUAUUCUCAAACUUUAAAUGGGUGAGAUCUCCGGCUUGCUUAAAACAUUUUUGAAGCCGCGAGAUUA